CAUCAUAAGCUUUCAUCUUCUAAUGAACUCCAUUGUUAUGAUGAAGUCCUUAGGACUAUUUAGAUUCGAUAAAGAGAGGAUUUAUCGAUUAGUCCUUAAAACUAUUCACGACCAAAUGAUAGGCUGUUAAUAAGGACGACAGCUUCUAUCGAGCAUAGGUCACUGUAGGCCAUAUGGGUUGAUUGUCCUCUUAACCAAGGAGUGUGGAGACACUGGUAUGGCAUACAGGUGAGAUGUAAGGGUACAUCAUCAUUGAACGUGACCAACUCCAGAGUAUUCUGCUGUCGAGAAUGUCUCUGAUGGGAUAUAGGUAUAAGUAUCCCUUAGACUUGAGAUCGCCUCAGUCACUUGCAAGCAACUCACUGUGCUUUGGUACUAGACUAACUGAAUUUUUAAUUCAGGGAUGGAAGGCUUCUGGGCACAAUCAAGUACUUGCGAAGUCAGAGUGUGAUCGAGAUGAGAUUGACCACUCCAAGAGUUGGAGAAGAAUGAGUCACUGUAUUUCAAUUUAGCAAAACCUUGGCCAGGGUAAUCCAUCAGAUGGAUUUGAUAUUUUAAAAUAUAAUGUGGACAACCUGAUCAGAGUUGACAGUUGAACUCUGGGGUAUCCUAUGAUCAUUUUG
This 623-nucleotide long non-coding RNA is filed under the name Elaeis guineensis (African oil palm). Its description in RNAcentral is "long non-coding RNA (EGUI_LNC054503)". The record is from RNAcentral. Lineage: Eukaryota; Viridiplantae; Streptophyta; Magnoliopsida; Arecales; Arecaceae.